UUGACUCGUUCUCUCACUGUAAUCUUCCUCGAGGUGAAAAGUUGAAGUCUCUGAGAAAACCCAUCAAAACUUCCUUAUUUUCUUCCUCAAGGCGAGAAGUCUCUCAAGUCUAAGAACUCUGAGAAAACUCCUAUUAACCAAAUCAAGCUCCAUUGAUAUACUAGCUUCAAUCCAGUAAUACCCAUGCCAAAAUGCUCCUUAUUUCACACACAGCUCCUGAGCAAAUCAAUCAAGAAAGCUCUCAAGAUGGGCCUCUCUUCAGUCCCACCUAAGUUCCCUACUCCAAUUCACUCUUAUUCCCACUUCUCUGUUUUCACCAUUCCAUCGAACAAUACCUCUGAAACCGAACCUGAUAACAUAGGGGAAACUGAGCCCCCAAUAUCUGAUGAAAUCUUCAAGUCAAGUCACAAAUUGGGUUCUUACAAACCGGGUGAUUCUACUUUCUAUUCACUCAUUGCGAACUAUGCCGACUUGGGUGAUUUUAGGUCGUUAGAGAAGGUUUUAGAUCGAAUGAAACGCGAAAACCGACGGUUUAUGGAGAGAUGUUUUGUUGUAAUUUUUAGAGCUUAUGGGAAAGCGCAUUUACCUGAAAAAGCUGUCCAAUUGUUUGAUAGAAUGGCCUAUGAGUUUCAUUGUCGGAGGACUGUGAAGUCGUUUAAUUCGGUUCUAAAUGUUAUUAUACAAGAAGGUCGUUUUUCUCACGCAUUAGAGUUUUAUUCGCGGGUCAUUGGUAGCAGGGAUUCGAAUAUUUUGCCAAAUGUGCUUACCUUCAAUUUGGUUAUUAAGGCUUUGUGUAAGUUGGGAAUGAUUGAUAGAGCGGUUGAGAUGUUUAGAGAAAUGCCGCUAAGAAAAUGCACUCCUGAUGUGUUCACGUAUAGUACAUUGAUGGAUGGAUUGUGCAGGGAGAUUAGGAUUGAUGAGGCGGUCUCACUGUUGGAUGAGAUGCAAAUUGAGGGGUGUUUCCCGAGUGCUGCAACAUUUAAUGUGCUGAUCAAUGCAGUGUGCAAGAAGGGUGACUUGGCACGUGCUGCAAAGCUCGUUGAUAAUAUGUUUCUAAAAGGAUGUGUUCCUAAUGAAGUGACUUAUAACACCCUUAUCCAUGGUUUGUGUCUCAAGGGAAAAUUAGAGAAAGCAGUGAGUCUACUGGAUCGAAUGGUAUCAAGUAAAUGUGUGCCUAAUGACAUCACUUAUGGAACAAUCAUCCAUGGGCUUGUAAAACAAGGAAGAGCUGUUGAUGGGGCUCGUCUGUUGAUUUCUAUGGAGGAGAGAGGUCAUCGUGCAAAUGAGUAUGCUUACUCAGCCCUUGUUAGCGGUUUGUUUAGGGAGGGAAAGAUGGAAGAGGCUAUGAAAUUGUGGAAGGAAAUGGUGGAAAGGGGAUGCAAACCAAAUACUGUCGUUUAUAGUGCUCUUAUAGAUGGUCUGUGCCGAGAAGGGAGGUUGGAUGAAGCAAAGGACGUUCUCUCUGAGAUGGUGAAAGAGGGCUGCAUGCCCAACGCUUUCACAUAUAGCUCCUUAAUGAAGGGCUUCUUCCAAAUAGGCGAUUGCCAUAAAGCUAUUCUUGUGUGGAAAAAUAUGGAAAAUGAUAAUUUUAUCCGUAAUGAGGUUUGUUACAGCGUACUUAUUCAUGGUUUAUGUGAGGAUGGGAAACUUAGGGAGGCCUUGAUGGUGUGGAAGCAGAUGUUGGGAAAGGGAUUUAAACCUGAUGUUGUUGCUUACAGUUCCAUGAUUCAUGGUCUUUGCAAUGCUGGUUUGGUGGAGCAGGGUUUGAAACUUUUCAAUGAAAUGCUUUGUCAAGAACCAGAAUCUCAACCUGAUGUGAUUACUUAUAACAUCAUUUUCAAUGCUUUGUGCAAGCAGAGUAGCAUUUCACGCGCCAUUGAUUUCUUAAACAGUAUGAUGGAUCAAGGUUGUGAUCCAGACUUAGUUACAUGCAACGUUUUUUUGCGAGCUUUAAGAGAAAAGGUACACCCACCUCAAGAUGGGAGGGAGUUUUUAGAUGAACUUGCUAUUCGGCUGUUUAAGCGACACAGGAUUUUAGGUGCUUCCAAAAUUGUAGAAGUGAUGUUGCAGAAGUUUUUGCCUCCAAAAGCCUCUACCUGGGCUAGAGUUGUUCAAGAGCUUUGCAAACCUAAGAAAAUUCAAGCUGCCAUUGACAAGUGUUGGAGCAGCCUCUACUGCUGAUUUCUUAAGCUGGAGUCUUUUGCAGUUCAAUUUCUCAUUGUUUCCCUGGAGCCCAAGACGUCCAUCUCACCAAGCACUGAUACAAUGGGCGAAGUAAUAGUACCAGAUUAUGAUAUUUGUUGGCCGAAACUGCCACAACCACCGCACGUAAACUGAGAUCUAGGGCAAGGCAAACCUAGGGGCCACACAUACCACUUUCUACAAGUCGUGCCUUAUGCAUACCACUGUCAUGUAACAUCUGCUUAGGGAAUUGGACAAUAUCACUCUAGAAUUGACUGUGCGGAGGAUUCAUGGUGUUGAAAGAAGCUUGGAUGAGCAGAUGACAAAGGUGAGCAAUCUGAUUGGUCUGUGGGACGAAGAUGGGGGAGGUGAGGAGAGGGGCAGAUAUGUCAGGUGAUGUUGGUCGGGGAUGGAGCUCGAGUUUCUUCAGCUUCAUAUCUCUGGUGCAUAUGGUAUAUUGGUGGUUCUGCUGUUGAAGAACAACGUUUAGUAUUGAAAUGUUUGAAUGAGAAAGCUGAAAUCUUUCAGCUAUUAAUCGUUCUUGCUGGACUUGCAGCAGGUCGAAACUUUUUUGGGUAGAAAAAGCUUUUUAUUUAUUUAUUUUAUCAUUUAUGGUGAUAGUGUUGUACAAAGUAUUAAAGCCUGGAAAUUGUAUUCUAAAAAGCUUAUUAUAAUAGAAAUUGCUUU
This is an RNA transcript of Juglans regia (Persian walnut), 2868 nucleotides long. It is a transcript of the gene named pentatricopeptide repeat-containing protein At4g20090, with no coding region annotated. The transcript has 3 exons. The record is from RefSeq and is a predicted model, not a curated record. NCBI's taxonomy places the organism in Eukaryota, Viridiplantae, Streptophyta, Magnoliopsida, Fagales, Juglandaceae.